AUUAUUACUUUAACAGAUUAUAUUAUUUUAUAUUAUAUUACUUUAACACAACUUUAGAUGUAAAUAAUAAUAGUUCAUGUUGAUUUAAGCAUUAACUAAGAUGCUUUAGGAGUGUUUUUCAUGUAAACAGAUGGGACCUCAUUGUAAAGACUCCUCCCUCAGGCGACCUGGCUUCAGAAACUUGUUCAAGGGCAUAAUGGUGAUGGGACAUCUGAGUAAGCAUGAGCAGCGGACCAUCACUUCCUCCAGCCGCAUUGUGUCUGCGCAUCCAUUCCUCUCCAGUGACUUCACUCGAGCAUCACCGCGCGGGGCCCUAAAGCCUGACGCGUUCUGUUCCGCUAUGAACAGCAGCAGCAGAUCUGCCUACAGAAAGGGGUAUAAAUAAUGACUAUUUGUACAUAAUUUUAUAUUACUAAAGGAGUUUGUUUAUUGCAACCGGACCUGUUUUUUUUUUUAUUCACCAGACCACUUUUACAAAUCGAUGCUGACAAAUAUGGUUCCUUUUUAAGGAUUUGGUUUUUGCCCCAUUAGAGCGGCUGUUAAAAUUUUUUGGAGUGCCACAUGCGUAAAAUGUGUGUAAAACUGACCACACACACUUGUGUCUGUGUGACAACCCUAUAUGACAUGUGAAAAGCAAAAAUCAUGCCCUAUCCCAAAUGAAACCUAUAAUAAUGGCACAUUGGACACCUGUCUUGAUGAGUCAUACAGUCAUAUGCAAUGAUGCUCAUCAUAAUUUCUAAGAAUAUAAUUUGAGACAGGACCAUAAUCUGACUGGGCUCCUGUGUAUUGGCCAAUCAGAGGCAAUAUUAUUAUAUACAUUUACUAACAGUUUACAGUGAAAAUUCUUACAAUUAUUUAUUCAAUGUUGAAUUUUCAGCAUCAUUACUCGUUAAUCUUCAGUGUCACUUCCUUCAGAAAUCAUUCUUAUGUGCUACUUUGCUGCUCAAGAAACAUUUCAUAUUAUUAUCAAUGUUGAAAAAACAAUGUUGUUGAAACCAUGAUUGUCCUUUUUCAAGAUUCUUUUAUAAAUAAAAAGUUUAAACGAACAGAAUUUAUUUGAAACAAAAAUGGUUUGUAACAGUAUGAAUGUUUUACUAUAUUUUUUGGCCAAUUUAUUGCAUCCUUGCUGAAUAAAACAGCGAUGGAAGACAGACAGAAUAUUUGGGAAAGCUUUUAUGUAUAUUUGCAACUGAAUAUGAGAAUAUCAUAAUAAUUGAUUUUCCACCAAUAGGGAAAAUCAACCCAAUGUGAAAGUCAACCAGUUUUGUAUUCAUCAAAUCUAGCUGUCUGUUCAGAAGCUGC
Molecule: long non-coding RNA, 1302 nt
Filed under: Carassius auratus (goldfish)
Lineage: Eukaryota; Metazoa; Chordata; Actinopteri; Cypriniformes; Cyprinidae
Description: lncRNA (ENSCARG00000016539.1)
Source: RNAcentral